UGGGGAAUAUUGGACAAUGGGCGCAAGCCUGAUCCAGCCAUGCCGCGUGUGUGAAGAAGGCCUUUUGGUUGUAAAGCACUUUAAGCGAGGAGGAGGCUACUUGGAUUAAUACUCUAGGAUAGUGGACGUUACUCGCAGAAUAAGCACCGGCUAACUCUGUGCCAGCAGCCGCGGUAAUACAGAGGGUGCGAGCGUUAAUCGGAUUUACUGGGCGUAAAGCGUGCGUAGGCGGCUUCUUAAGUCGGAUGUGAAAUCCCUGAGCUUAACUUAGGAAUUGCAUUCGAUACUGGGAAGCUAGAGUAUGGGAGAGGAUGGUAGAAUUCCAGGUGUAGCGGUGAAAUGCGUAGAGACCUGGAGGAAUACCGAUGGCGAAGGCAGCCAUCUGGCCUAAUACUGACGCUGAGGUACGAAAGCAUGGGGAGCAAACAGG
RNAcentral lists this ribosomal RNA (430 nucleotides) under Acidobacteriota bacterium. RNAcentral's name for it is "Acidobacteria bacterium partial 16S ribosomal RNA". It matches the Rfam family "Bacterial small subunit ribosomal RNA", at positions 355 to 776 of the family's 1533-position model. The record is from RNAcentral. Lineage: Bacteria; Pseudomonadati; Acidobacteriota.